GUGGAAUCUUGCUCUGUCAUCCAGGCUAGCAGUGGCGUGAUCUUGGCUCACUGCAAUGUCUGCCUCCUGGGUUCAGGUGAUUCUCCUGCCUCAGCCUCCUGAGUAGCUGGGACUACAGGCGCCUGCCAUCAUGCCCUGCUGUUUUGUAUUUUUGAGAAGUGGAAUAAUCGUAUCGCUGAUCUAUGUAAACAAAUUGAAGAAUUGUCUGAAAGAAAAUAUGGUAUGUCUAAACUGGAAAAGUCCUGUAAUCUUAUGUUCAUGGGUGUUUACACAAUGGAGUUACUCUUCAUCAUGGGGGUACCGUGGACAAGCCCAGGGCUGCCGGCGAGUCAUGCCAUCCUUACACGUUUCUCCUUGUAAGGUGCUUUGUAGUGUCUACACACUUUGUUUCUAGAUUGCUGCAAAGCUGAGGAAAAGUUGUAUUUCUUUAGUUAUUAGUUAGCAUUUCUUUUAAACUUUCAGUAUGGAGAUUGGAAAUUUAUUUACAUAUUUAUUGCAAAGCCCUGGAUCUUAGGGAUUUCAUUGAAUUAUUUAUUUAUUUUUUUUGAGACGGAGCCUCACUCUAUCGCCCAGGCUGGAGUGCAGUGGCACGAUCUCGGCUCACUGCAACCUCCGCCUCCCGGGUUCAAGCAGUUCUCUGCCUCAGCCUCCUGAGCAGCUAGGAUUACAGGCACCAGCCACCACGCCUGGCUGAUUUUUGUAUUUUUAGUAGAGACGGGGUUUCAUGAUCUUGGCUAGGCUGGUCUUGAACUGCUGACCUCCUGAUCCACUCACCUCAGCCUCCCAAAGUGCUGGGAUUACAGGUGUGAGCCGCCACGCCUGGCCAAAUAUUAUUUUUUUAAAUGAAUUGUUUCUCUUAGUCUGCUUUGUUAAAUUUGGAAUUCAUCUGGGUGCGGUGGCUCACACCUGUAAUCCCAGCACUUUGGGAGGCCAAGGCAGGCAGAUAUCUAGGUCGGGAGUUCGAGACCAGCCUGACCAACAUGGAGAAACCCCGUCUCUACUAAAAAUACAAAAUUAGACGGGUGUGGUGGCACAUGUCUGUAAUCCCAGCUAUUCGGGAGGCCAAGGCAGGAGAAUCGCUUGAACCCAGGAGGCAGAGGUUGUGGUGAGCCGAGGUUGCACCAUUGCACUCUAGCCUGGGCAAAAAGAGCAAAACUCCAUCUCAAAAUAAAUAAAUAAAUAAAAUGUUCAGUACUCACCAAGGUGCCCCUAUUGUCUCUACUUUUAUCUUGAUGCAUCACUGAAUUGAUGUUAGAUUUCAAAUUCAUCAUUGUCCUUACACUAUUCUAUCCUGAAGCCACCUUUAUAUAGUGAUGAAAGAAAUUAGUGAUUUGUUAUUAUCCUCUCUCUGUUGGUAUACAUCAAAUGCUCACCUAAAAAGAGCAACAACCAGUGGAAAACACAUGAUGUUUUUAUUUGGGUGACUAUUUACUUGUAACCUACUAGCAAACUAUAAAAUUGUAUGAUAUGCAGAAUUUUAACUGAAUUGCUUUAAGUGAACAUUUAA
RNAcentral lists this long non-coding RNA (1507 nucleotides) under Pan troglodytes (chimpanzee). Its description in RNAcentral is "lncRNA (ENSPTRG00000054183.1)". The record is from RNAcentral. Lineage: Eukaryota; Metazoa; Chordata; Mammalia; Primates; Hominidae.